UCUAAAAGAAUCUUUAAAAUAAAAAACAUCCAGUAAAACUCUUUGGCCAUCUGAGCAGAGUCACUAUAAAACUAAAAUUGCCCUUUUCCAAAAGCCAUACAAGUUAAAGCUGGAGAACUUGAGAUAAACCAGAGAGAAAUCACCACAGUCGCUCACAUAUGGACACUCUUCUUGCCUGCUGCUAUGUGGCUGCUCAGAGUUCACCAGAGCCCUUCAAAGUGCAAAUCAGGCAUGUCUGUCAGACUGCGUGUGCCUGCCCUUAGUCCAUGAAACACCUCUAAUUAAAUUACCUGAUUGUUCACAUCAUAUGGAGCUCACUUGCAACACCACCUCGCAAAAUAAAACCUCAUAUUCAUCC
Suricata suricatta (meerkat) is the source of this 358-nucleotide long non-coding RNA. RefSeq lists it as uncharacterized. The record is from RefSeq and is a predicted model, not a curated record. NCBI's taxonomy places the organism in Eukaryota, Metazoa, Chordata, Mammalia, Carnivora, Herpestidae. The transcript is spliced from 3 exons.